CGCAGGCGGGCAGACGCAGAUCACUCCGCUUCCUCUUCCUUCCUCCGCCGCCGGCGCCGACCAAGGCAGCGCAACGCUCGUUCCCUUCCUCCAAAGGGGAGAUGGCGCUCUACCGUCGUGUCCUGAUCCUCCGUCGCCUCUCCCACCUCCACCCCUCGCCCGCCCCCGCCAUCUGCUCCUCACCGCCACCACCCACCCUUGCGGGGCUCUUCACCCCUAUGGGGCGCCGCCACAUGGCCUUCUCGUCCGCCGAGGAGGCCGCCGCCGAGCGCCGCCGCCGCAAGCGCCGCCUCCGCAUAGAGCCUCCAAUGAACGCCCUCCGCCGCGGCCCGCCUCCCCCGCGGGACCCCAACGCGCCCCGCCUCCCAGACACCACCUCCGCGCUCACCGGCCCGCGUCUCAGCCUCCACAACCGCGUCCAGUCCCUCAUCCGCUCGGGUGAUCUAGACGGCGCCUCAGUCGCCGCCCGCGCCGCCGUCUCCUCGCGCGUCCGGCCCACCGUCUUCACCUGCAACGCCGUGGCCGCGGCCAUGGUCCGCGCCGCCCGCCACGAUGACGCCGUCGCGCUCUUCGAUUUCUUCUUCCGCCGCUCCAACAUCGUCCCCAACAUCGUCUCCUACAACACCCUCAUCCUCGCACACUGCGAGGCCGACCGCGUCGACACCGCGGUGCAGGUCUACCACGACAUGCUCGCGUCUGCGCCCUUUUCCCCCUCUGCAGUCACCUUUCGCCACCUCACCAAGGGUCUCGUCGCUGUUGGUCGCAUCCAUGACGCCCUCGACCUCCUCCGCGAGAUGCUCGACCGCGGCGCUGGCGCGGACUCCCUCGUCUACAACAACCUCAUCGCUGGCUACAUCGACCUCGACGACUGGGGCAGGGCCUUCGAGCUCUUUAACGAGCUCGCAGAGAGGUGCCUUGUCUACGACGGUGUUGUCCACACCACCUUCAUGGAGGGCUACUGGAGGCAGGGCAAGGACAAGGAGGCCAUGGACAACUACCAGUCCCUUCUUGAUCGGGGCUUCAAGAUGACGCCGGCCACCUGCAACGUCCUGCUCGAGACACUCUUCAAGCACGGCAAGCACAAGGAGGCCAACGACCUAUGGGAGACCAUGAUUGACAACCACACCCCGCCAAGCUUCAUUGGCAUCAACGCUGAGUCCUACAAUGUCAUGGUUAACCAGUGCUUCAGGGAGGGCAAGUUCAAGGAGGCGAUUGAGGUCUUCCACCGCCAGCCCAGGAAGAAUGUCCAAAUGGACGUCGGCUGCUUCAACAACAUCAUUGGCAAACUCUGUGAAAAUGGCAUGCUAGGUGAGGCAGAAAAGCUCUUUGAGGAGAUGGAGAAGAAGUCAGUCCUUCCAGAUGUGCACACCUACACUUACCUUGUUGACUCAUGCUUCAAGGAAGGUCGUGUGGAAGAUACAAUGGGAUAUUUCUACAAAAUGGCAGAUGGGAAGCAGCAUGGGCCAAAGUUCAAUAUUGGUUUCUUCAACCGCAUGUUUGAAGGGCUUACAGAAGCUGGCCGGAUUGAUGAUGCCUUGAAGGUGUACGGGAGGAUGCCUGACAAGGAGAUCAAACCAAACAUGACCACUUUUGAAAUCCUUGUCAAAGCCUUAUGCAAAGAAGAAGGGGACUUGGAUCAAGCAAGGGGCCUAGUGAUGGACAUGGCGAGAGGUAGUAUUGUGCCUCCUCCAGAGUUCCGUGAGUCUGUUGUUAACUUUUUCAAGAAGGCUGGUCGACAGGAAGAAAUUGAGAAAGCUUUUGAAGAAAAACCUAUGCUAACAACUCAGCCUAGGACAGAGUAUCUGUCGAGGACUGAAUAUCACUCUCGCAAUGCAGUUGGUGCUGCUCAAGUAAAACAACCUGGCUUUAGCUCAGCUCCAGCAGCGGAACCUGAAUUUGUUUACUCUCAGCCACAACAGUCAACACUUAGUAACACUCCAAAUCAGCAGCCUGAGUUUGGCUCAUCUCGUUCAUGGAAUUCAGGUUUUGGUGCUCCUCAAGCGCAGCCUGGAUAUGGUGCACCUCAGCCUGUACAGGCUGUAGCUGGUUCAUCUCAGCGACCCCGGACACAGUUUGGUGCUUCUCAGGGUGAACCAGGAUAUAGCAACAUAGGAAAUCAGCAUGGUCAGUUUGGUUCUCCCCAGAGAGAACCAAAAUAUAGCAACCAUCCACCACAAGUUGGGUAUGGUGCCCAAUUGCCUCAGUCAGGAUAUCGCUUUGAGCUCCAACAAGAACAGGUUGGAAUUGGAAAUCGAGUAGCACAAUCUGCAUAUGUGGCUUCAAGCCAACCCUCAUAUGACACCCGCUGGAGCUCAAGUGGUUAUGGAUCAACCCAAGGGCAACUGGGAUAUGGUGGUCCUCAAGCGCAGUCACAUGAAUCUCAGUUACCACAUCACCAGGGAAAUUUUGGUAUGCCACAUAUCCAAAAUAACAAUGGCUUCUAUAGACACAACCAUGGAUACAUGCCAUCUAAUGGUCUGCAGGGAUUUGAUGCUCCCCAUGGUGAUUCUGGAACUGCUAUGUCUAAAGACUAUCAAGAGACUACCACUUCUGAAGACCGGCAACAACAGGACUGAGAAGAUAAAUUAAUGUACUGAGACUCCUCUUCAUCCACUUCUGACAUUGAAAAAGCAAGUUACAGGCUUGUGAAAUUACAAAAGGUUGCUUCUCUGUUUGACAUCAUUGAUAAUAUCAAUGAUCCUAUGAAAGGUUUCUGUUUCGGAACAUCCACUUUAUAUGGAACAGAUAGGCCAGAACCUGCAUUUUAUGAAGGUCAUUUCCAUAUUGGAUUAUGAGAUGAGAUAAAAGGAUACAUUCAUACCAUUUCGUGGUUGCAACAAGGGUGUUACAUUUGUGAACAGCUAAAACAUCGGAAGAUUUUGGCUGGCACACGGAUCCCAAUGUGCCCUUUAUGUUCCAGUGCCUAUCAUCAGACCUGGGAACGACAUCAUUGUAAGGUAAUCGUUAACUGCAUGCUCCAAAUCCUGGGCUCAUUAUCGAUUUGGUUACGGAUCCAGAUUUAACGUGCUGUCCAAAACAGUAAAAAGGGUUGCACGUGGUGUACAUACUACAUAGUACUCUUGCUUCUGAACUGCUAUCGGAAGGUAGUACAGCAGCCGGUGGAGCAAUUGGACAAAGAUUGCAUGUGGUUGCCAGAAGACAGAUCAUGCAUCAUUGGAAAUGCAAGCCAAGGUUAGUACUAUAAAAUGUGAUAAUCACAAUCGGGUACCAAAAAGGUUCAGAGUGAUGGCUGCCGUACUUCAGAAUUUUGCAUCAGAGAUGUAGACAGAGGUAAAACUUUACAGUUCAGUUCUGUAACCUAGCCUCAUUCAGUCUAUAUUCUGAUUUGUUUUGAAUCUUUUGAAUGAAGAUCUAUAAUACUAGAGUAGUGACAACGUUUAGAAAAAACCUCAUUAGUUGAUACAAUAAGCAAUUAUUAAAAGGACAGGGAAAUGUGAAUCAUCAUAAUUCAUACGCACAAGGUAAGGGUUCAACUAGAACGGUGACUGAAACUUACCCCUACAGUGCCACCAUUACUCAUGACAUCUAAGUAGUGCCCGUGAGCAUGGCCAUUAUGCCAGCUCCUCUCUCCAUUAUCCUUGGAAGCCUUGAUCUUUCUUCUUGACAACUUGGACAACUGCAAGAAAGCAAACAAACAGAUACAGAGCAGGACCCAACGACAGUGACACAACAAAGCUGAUAUUGUUGCCUAUCUAAAUAAUAUAUUGUUGUCUAUCCAAUGUUAUGUUAUUGCCAGUGUGAACUCUUAUUGUUGCCUAUGCAGUGCUAUAUUGUUGCUUAAACAUAUAAUGGUGUCAAAUGCAGAAUCUUAAAUACACCUUCUAACUUCUUUGUCCUCUGUUUUGAGCAGUACUCAAUGAUCUUAAAUCAACUGCUCAACAAGCAUCUGCAUGCAUCUACAAGGGAAUGACCAAAUUAAAAUUCCAUCAUUCAGUCACACACUUAAUAAGCACCAGAACAUUGUGCCCUCAAAUACCAACAUAUAGACUACAAAACUACAUAUACAACAACCACAAAAAUCGUAAAGCAAAAUUAAAACUAAAACCACUCAAUCAUAAUCACUGAAUAUUAAAAAAAUAGAACAGGAUCUGGAUCUCACAUUAUUACCUAACUGUCAAUCUAUCACCGACGAAGGAUUGAGAGCGGGCAGGACCGGGCAGCCGACAGGAAAAAGGGCCAGUGGAGGGCCGAAGGGCCUGCAAGCCGGCCGGCUUGGUCCCUGAUGUAGCCGCGCAGGCGGCCUGGGAAGCUCCUCGCCUGCACAGCUAGUCAGGCGGGGGAGGUGACCGACGCGACCUUGGCUGUGGCCACCGGUCGGCUAGGCUUGGCCCCAGGCGCAGCCGCGUAGGAAGGAGCUCUGGCCCCUGGUGGUGGAGGUCGGGUUGGGGAAUGUAU
Molecule: RNA transcript, 4416 nt
Organism: Sorghum bicolor (sorghum)
Lineage: Eukaryota; Viridiplantae; Streptophyta; Magnoliopsida; Poales; Poaceae
Gene name: pentatricopeptide repeat-containing protein At1g10270
Exons: 6
Source: RefSeq, a predicted model, not a curated record